GAGCGAGGCUGCGCAUCGCUUUCUCGUCUGGGGAUAUGUUCAGAAUCUUAAUUAACUUAAUUCAAGAGUAAUCUUUCUGUCUAUUUUUUAAAUUGUACAUAGUCGAAGAUUAAAAUACAAGGAAGACCGCAGCGCAAGACUGAAAUGGAUCAUUCUACUUCGGCGUACGGUUGCUGUCAUCUUUUUGGCAACGUGGAACGACUUUGAGGGGAAUACAUUUAGCACGCGAGUAAAGCUAGAUUUGACAAGUUUGGCAAUGAGAGACAGCCCGUCUAAACGCACCUCAGUUGUUCCCCGAUCUCCUCGUCGAUCGAGAACGGUAGAACGAUAUUCCAUAUUACAAGUGCAAGCGGCGGGUCCUCCGAGGAACAUCCGCUGUUGAACUGGCACGACGUGACCGCAGGAGAUGCAGAGGUGUCUCGGAUCGAUGCCGCGCAAACGCGUUGACGAACCGCGAAAGCACAACACACGCGUCUGAGAGGCAUAGCUGCGAUUGCAGGAAUGGCGCUACUAAUUGCUAUAUAGUUUCAAUUGGGUACUCAGAGUUGCUCUUCAGCGCUAAAAUUUAUCUUAAUGACUUUACAUUUCUUUAUUUUGACUUUAAUUUUAGUCAGCAAAGUUUAUGGAAUAUCUUCAGAUCUCCCAUUAGAAAGAUUGAAUAUUCAUAAAAGUGAUUUUUAGAGAGACAGAUAUUCUGAGAAUAUACUUGUGUUUUUCAAAUACGUUAUCUUAGAUAUCCUAAUAAUAUCCUUCAAGAUUAUUCCUAUAUAUAGAAUUUUUUAUGCUUGAUUUUUGACGAAGUAAUUAUUUUUCGAAUAUUCUACUGUACAAGACUUGAAUAGUUAAAAAGUUAAAUUUGGAGAAUAUAAGAAUUGAUAUAAUAUUAUUAUGAAUAUUCGAAGUUAAAUUAUAGAAAAAAUUUAUAUUUUUAUAACAAUAUUAAAGUAUUAAAAAAUAUUCGCGUAGGAAAAUCAUGGUGAAAAUCAAUUAUUAAAAUUAUGAAAUAUAUAAAAUGUUGAAAACAACUCUGAAAUCGUUGAAAAAGGAAAUAAAAAUUAUUAAAAUAUUGUUGAAUAUAUUUCAGUCAGGGAUAAGAAGUAAUGCUUACAAGUAACGAGUCACCGUUACUUUUAGUUUUCUGUAAUAACAAUUUGACAAUGACAUUAAAAUUUUUUAUAACAAUAAAAAAGUAACACCAGGUUUGGAAAAUAAUUACAAUUGACAAAUAAAACUCGUUGUCAUUAUUACAUUGAAAAAAGUAACUCGUUAGUUGACUCGUUACGUAAGGAGUAAAAAGUAAUGCAAAUGCAACGUAUUACCUUGACUUGUUACGUAACGAGUAAAGUUACAAGUUAGUAUGUUUCAAUGAAUAAUGGUAACGAGUUGAUUGAAAGCAACUAUUCUAAUCCUGGCUUUAACAUUACUAUUAUGAAAAAUUGUAACGUUAUUAUUAAAUUAUAAAAAAGUUUUAUAAAAGGUAAUAGUAAUGAAUAAUGGCAUUACUUUUUGUAACUCGUUACUUCCCAUCUCUGAAUUUUAGUAUAUAUAAAUUAUACUUAUAAGCUAAUGAAAUACUAUGAAAAAUAAAAAUAGUUAUUAAAAAUGAUGGAAAAGUAAUGUAAACAUAUAGUAUUUUACAGAUUUAUUAAUAAAAGUUUAACCUGGAAA
Solenopsis invicta (red fire ant) is the source of this 1668-nucleotide long non-coding RNA. RefSeq lists it as uncharacterized. The transcript has 2 exons. Lineage: Eukaryota; Metazoa; Arthropoda; Insecta; Hymenoptera; Formicidae. The record is from RefSeq and is a predicted model, not a curated record.